GAUUUUUCACGACAAUUGCAGCUGUCUAAUUCAUCAGUGAAUAAUUAAAUCAGAGCAACCAGGCCUGCCUGGCGUCGGAGACCAGGGACUCCCCACCCAGAGCCCAUCAGAUUGGGGGGUCUGUGGGGAGCAGGGAGGCCAGGAAGGGACAGGCCUCGCCCUGAGCCAGGGCUGGGAGAGCGGCCAGGCCCGGCGCCAUUCGCGGUGCGUGAACGAAGCCAGAACCCUGUGUGGUGCGAGGAGGCUGGGGAGCAGGGGGGCGCUCCGCAGGGACCCGACUCCCAGCCCAGCACCGUCCUCUACGAGGGCGCAAAUUCCACAUCCCACCCACACACCUAGGCGCCUGGGAGGGCGGUUGUAGGGUUUUGUGCAGACACCCUCCUCACGCAGAGUUUGCGAAGGGAGAGGAAAUCCACCCUCGGGAGGCGAUUUGCAUUUGAGGAAGAUGGAGAGGAGCAGAGAGAAGCGCCUAGAAACGGCAUUGAUUUAGACAUCAAUCCUGGCCAGCUCCCUCCGCCUCUCGAGGCGCGGGGCCGCACCGCCCCCUCCCCGGGAAGCGGCUCCGCGAGGACCCCGGGGCCGCCGGGCCUGGGGAGCCGCUCGAAGAUCCUGCGCGGCCAUCCGCUUCCUCGGCCUCGACGCCGCCCCGCCCGCAGGCCCGGGCUCGGGUCCGACCCGCUCCCACGCGCAUUCUCGAGGCCAACAGGUACUCCCCGGCCGCGAGUCCGCAGCGCCGCUCGCACGGCUCUCCCAGCACCCGGUGGGACGCCCCCCGAGCCCCAGAUCUUUGGAGGAAGCCAAACCAAUUGUGCCCAGCCCAGCCCGGCUCUGGUUCUUGGAGGCCGCGGGGGCCGAGUCCUGCUCCUCCGCCGGCAAGGCUACGAAACGGCCGCCUCCGAACCCAGCGGUCCACCAGAGUUGCUUUCCUCUGCACGUUCGCAAACAAAACAAUUCGGAAUUCCUAAAAGUGACAUCGAGCCGGUUUUCAAUAAUAAAAUGCUC
Molecule: long non-coding RNA, 1002 nt
Filed under: Marmota marmota marmota (Alpine marmot)
Lineage: Eukaryota; Metazoa; Chordata; Mammalia; Rodentia; Sciuridae
Description: lncRNA (ENSMMMG00000004489.1)
Source: RNAcentral